RNAcentral lists this ribosomal RNA (255 nucleotides) under uncultured bacterium. Its description in RNAcentral is "partial 16S ribosomal RNA". It matches the Rfam family "Bacterial small subunit ribosomal RNA", at positions 166 to 422 of the family's 1533-position model. The record is from RNAcentral.
AUACCGCAUACGUCCUACGGGAGAAAGCAGGGGACCUUCGGGCCUUGCGCUAUCAGAUGAGCCUAGGUGGGAUUAGCUAGGUGGUGAGGGAAUGGCUCACCAAGGCUACGAGUCCGUAACUGGUCUGAGAGGAUGAUCAGUCACACUGGAAGUGAGACACGGUCCAGCCUCCGACGGGAGGCAGCAGUGGGGAAUAUUGGACAAUGGGCGAAAGCCUGAUCCAAAAAGGCCUCGUGUGUGAAGAAGGUCUUCGGA